This 603-nucleotide ribosomal RNA is filed under the name Uhagoniella franzi. RNAcentral describes it as "SSU rRNA". It matches the Rfam family "Eukaryotic small subunit ribosomal RNA", at positions 22 to 602 of the family's 1831-position model. RNAcentral also lists the same sequence under 2 other names. Lineage: Eukaryota; Metazoa; Arthropoda; Insecta; Coleoptera; Leiodidae. The record is from RNAcentral.
AGUCAUAUGCUUGUCUCAAAGAUUAAGCCAUGCAUGUCUCAGUACAAGCCAAAUUAAGGUGAAACCGCGAAAGGCUCAUUAAAUCAGUUAUGGUUCCUUAGAUCGUACCCACAUUACAUGGAUAACUGUGGUAAUUCUAGAGCUAAUACAUGCUUACAGAACUCUGACCGGAAACGGAAGGGGUGCCUUUAUUAGAUCAAAACCAAUCGGUGGCAUGGUCUCGGCUAUGUCAUCGUACAAUAUGGUGAAUCUGAAUAACGUUUGCUGAUCGCACGGUCUCGCACCGGCGACGUAUCUUUCAAAUGUCUGCCUUAUCAACUGUCGAUGGUAGGUUCUGCGCCUACCAUGGUUGUAACGGGUAACGGGGAAUCAGGGUUCGAUUCCGGAGAGGGAGCCUGAGAAACGGCUACCACAUCCAAGGAAGGCAGCAGGCGCGCAAAUUACCCACUCCCGGCACGGGGAGGUAGUGACGAAAAAUAACGAUACGGGACUCAUCCGAGGCCCCGUAAUCGGAAUGAGCACAGUUUAAAUCCUUUCACGAGGAUCAAUCGGAGGGCAAGUCAGGUGCCAGCAGCCGCGGUAAUUCCUGCUCCGAUAGCGUAU